GCGAGUGUAGUUCAGUGGUAGAACGUUAGCCUUCCAAGCUAAAUGUCGUCGGUUCAAGUCCGAUCUCUCGCU
The sequence is a transfer RNA, 72 nucleotides long. It matches the Rfam family "tRNA". From Rfam's summary of the family: Transfer RNA (tRNA) molecules are approximately 80 nucleotides in length. Their secondary structure includes four short double-helical elements and three loops (D, anti-codon, and T loops). Further hydrogen bonds mediate the characteristic L-shaped molecular structure. tRNAs have two regions of fundamental functional importance: the anti-codon, which is responsible for specific mRNA codon recognition, and the 3' end, to which the tRNAs corresponding amino acid is attached (by aminoacyl-tRNA synthetases). tRNAs cope with the degeneracy of the genetic code in two manners: having more than one tRNA (with a specific anti-codon) for a particular amino acid; and 'wobble' base-pairing, i.e. permitting non-standard base-pairing at the 3rd anti-codon position. The record is from Rfam.